Diorhabda carinulata is the source of this 246-nucleotide long non-coding RNA. RefSeq lists it as uncharacterized. The transcript is spliced from 2 exons. The record is from RefSeq and is a predicted model, not a curated record. Lineage: Eukaryota; Metazoa; Arthropoda; Insecta; Coleoptera; Chrysomelidae.
CGGGUAUAAAAUAAUGUGGUCACGAUUUUGUACUCAGUGCAAUGAAUUAAAAAUAUUCGCUCGAUCCUUGUUUCAGGACAGACACUGAAGAUUUAUCUCAUCAAUGCGGCUAUAGUAGCAGACUGACAAGCCGGAACAGCUCGAAAUUAUUUCCGCUUGCCUCAACAUAUGAGGGUGUAAAACAUACUAAUUUAGUUUAAGAAAACUUCUUCCAUUGUGUAAAAUUAAAAUCGACAUACUAUUUCA